Molecule: ribosomal RNA, 253 nt
Filed under: uncultured bacterium
Lineage: Bacteria
Description: partial 16S ribosomal RNA
Rfam family: Bacterial small subunit ribosomal RNA
Source: RNAcentral
UACAGAGGUCUCAAGCGUUGUUCGGAUUCCUUGGGCGUAAAGGGUGCGUAGGCGGCGCGUUAAGUCGGGUGUGAAAUCUCGGAGCUUAACUCCGAAACUGCAUUCGAUACUGCCGUGCUUGAGGACUGGAGAGGAGACUGGAAUUUACGGUGUAGCGGUGAAAUGCGUAGAUAUCGAGAGGAACACCUGCGGCGAAGGCGGGUUGCUGGGCUGACACUGACGCUGAUGCGCGAAGGCCAGGGGAGCAAACGGG